AUCGGUCGAAAGCCAUACAUAUGUAUAUCCCUGUUCCAUUGGCGAGGUCAGGUUCACUCUAAGGACACAGCUUUGCCUAAGAAACCCCAGUUGAAGCGUUUUAAAAAAUAUUAAAAA
Non-coding RNA from Drosophila kikkawai, 117 nucleotides. The record is from RefSeq and is a predicted model, not a curated record. NCBI's taxonomy places the organism in Eukaryota, Metazoa, Arthropoda, Insecta, Diptera, Drosophilidae.